Molecule: ribosomal RNA, 419 nt
Filed under: uncultured archaeon
Lineage: Archaea
Description: bacterial SSU rRNA
Rfam family: Archaeal small subunit ribosomal RNA
Source: RNAcentral
UUCCGGUUGAUCCUGCCGGAGGACAUUGCUAUUGGGAUUCGAUUUAGCCAUGCUAGUCGAGCGAGUUUGGACUCGCGGCGAAUAGCUCAGUAACACGUGGCCAAGCUACCCUUCAGUCAGCGAUACCCUCGGGAAACUGAGGUUAACAGCUGAUACAAAACGCUUGCUGGAAUGCGGCGUUUCAGAAAGAUCACGCUGAAGGAUGCGGCUGCGGCCGAUUAGGUAGACGGUGGGGUAACGGCCCACCGUGCCAGUAAUCGGUACGGGUGAUGAGAGUCAGAGCCCGGAGACGGAAUCUGAGACAAGAUUCCGGGCCCUACGGGGCGCAGCAGGCGCGAAACCUUUACACUGCACGGAAGUGCGAUAGGGGAAUCCCAAGUGCGAGGGCAUAUUAGCCCUCGCUUUUCUCGACUGUAAGG